Chenopodium quinoa (quinoa) is the source of this 1337-nucleotide long non-coding RNA. RefSeq lists it as uncharacterized. The transcript has 3 exons. The record is from RefSeq and is a predicted model, not a curated record. NCBI's taxonomy places the organism in Eukaryota, Viridiplantae, Streptophyta, Magnoliopsida, Caryophyllales, Amaranthaceae.
CUCCUCAGCCGUCACUCCCCUCUAUUUCGCUCCUCACUCUCUUUCUCUCUCCUCUCUAGAACUCAUUGUCUUUCUCUUUCCUCAGGAUUCAUUCUCUUUCACUCUCUUUACCACCUCUCCUUACCUCCAUAUUCUCUUUCCUCUUGAUUAUGCGUUUUUUUUUUAAAAUUUAUGUUUUGUUUUUGCUACUAGAUCUGUAGCAAUUAGAUUCAAAUUGGUAGAAUUAUUGGGUUUUAUAAUUAGAUUUUAAUCUGAUUUUUAUUUGAAUGAUUUUUGCUAGUUUAUUGUUGAAAACCAAGAGGAGGAAGUGAAAUAAGAGGCGAAAAAGAGGAAGAAGGCACUAACGGCGAUGGAGAAAUCAAUGGUUAGAUCGUUGGAAACCACCGCUUACAAGGAUCUUAUUUCUUUUAUUUAUUUAUUUAUUUUGAAUCUUAUUUCUUUUAAUUUUUUGUUACAUGUUACCCUUUUUUUUCAUUCAAGUGCUAUGAUUUUUCUGGAUUUUUAAAAUUAUUUUUGGUAAUUUUGUUUUUAUUUCUUGGAAAAUCGAUUGAAAUGACUUAGUUUUGGGAAUUUUUCCGCUUCUCUUUCGUUCUUCACAUUUCGAAAAUUCUCCCCUUUCAAUUCUCAAUCUGCAACUUCAGAGAAUUCAACAAUGGCGGCUUCAAACAAUCAAUUAAGGUUUGUAAAUCAGCUUUUAUUGUAGCUCACGAGAAGGCUACCCUUACAAAGCUCAGCAAUGGCGUCUACGUCUCUCCGUUUCUAUCGACCUCUACAAUUGUGGAUCUUUCUUUGGAUUUACUGAAGAAUGAUCAAGUGGUUGCAAUCAUAGGUCCAGAAACAUCUCCUGAGGCUCAAUUUGUUGUCAAUCUUGGGGAGAAAGCUCGAGAUCUAAUUGUUUCCUACUCUACUACAAGCCCUUCACUUUCUCCCACGCAAAACUCGUAUUUCAUUCGAGCAACACAGGAUGAUUACUGCCAAGUACAACCCAUCAGUGACCUUAUCCAAGCUUUUGGAUGGAGAGGAGUUGUACCUGUCUAUGUUGCUAAUGAAUUUGGUGGUGGGAUCAUACCUUUCUUGAAGUUCAGGAGGCAAGAAAGUUCUAUUGACGCUGCUGAAGACAGAGACAUUGGUGACGAAGAAAAUCAAGAAUGGCAAUGUUAAUCCUUUUAAUGUUGAGGAUAGAGAUAGAGAAAUGUCCGAGACAUCAUGUACCAGAAGAUUUAUUACUAUGAGGCUCUAACUUUUUUUUUCUGAAAUUUUCCUUUAAUCUAUGUAGCUAUGUCUCUUGGUUCAAUCAAGAAGAAUUUUAUCUGAAAUACAAUUUGGUGUUUAUGUUA